Molecule: ribosomal RNA, 327 nt
Filed under: uncultured Pseudomonadota bacterium
Lineage: Bacteria; Pseudomonadati; Pseudomonadota
Description: bacterial SSU rRNA
Rfam family: Bacterial small subunit ribosomal RNA
Source: RNAcentral
AACGAACGUUAGCGGCGCGCUUAACACAUGCAAGUCGAACGAGAAAGUCCCUUCGGGGGCGAGUACAGUGGCGCACGGGUGAGUAACACGUGGAUUACCUACCUUCUGGUGGGGGACAACACUCCGAAAGGGGUGCUAAUACCGCAUAAGUCCGCCUCGGUGGGGAAAGAUGGCCUCUCCUUGGAAGCUAUCGCCAGAAGAAGGGUCCGCGUCCCAUCAGCUUGUUGGUAGGGUAAAGGCCUACCAAGGCUACGACGGGUAGCUGGUCUGAGAGGAUGAUCAGCCACACUGGAACUGAGACACGGUCCAGACUCCUACGGGUGGCAG